CUUUUACUACCAACUGAUAAAUUAAAACAAUCUUUACCAUUCAGUGAUAACAAGCACUUUUUUUACAUUUUAAUAUUUUAUGAUGUAUUUAAAUGAGUAGUUAUUGUUGCAAACUCCAUUAGAAAUUUGAAUUGAGAUCAGUUUUGGAAUAAGGGAAAGGGGGAUGUGAAAAAAAAAUUGGGGGGGGGGGGUUCAAUUUUUCUCAUUUCAGAUUUCAUAAAUAAAAAGAAAAUUUCUUCAAACAUUUUUUUGAGAGGAUUGAUAUUCAACAGCAUAGUGAAUUGCUCAAAGGCAAAACAAAAAUUUUAAGUUCAUUAGACCACAUUCAUUCUGUGUCAGAAACCUAUGCUGUGUCAACUAUUUAAUCACAAUCCAAAUUUAGAGCUGAAUCCAGCUUGAAUGUUGUGUCCAUACUUGCCCCAACCGUUCAGGGUUCAACCUCUGCGGUCUUAUAAAGCUGCGCCCUGCGGAGCAUCUGGUUAUCAUUA
This 488-nucleotide long non-coding RNA is filed under the name Mytilus galloprovincialis (Mediterranean mussel). Lineage: Eukaryota; Metazoa; Mollusca; Bivalvia; Mytilida; Mytilidae. The record is from RNAcentral.